Molecule: non-coding RNA, 297 nt
Organism: Pelobates cultripes (western spadefoot toad)
Lineage: Eukaryota; Metazoa; Chordata; Amphibia; Anura; Pelobatidae
Source: the annotation of a GenBank genome assembly
AGUGACAGAGUUAGGGAGGGAAGGGGUGACUAGUGACAGAGUGAGGAAGGGGGUGACUAGUGACAGAGGGAGGGGUGACUAGGGACAGAGUGAGGGAGGUGGUGACUAGUGACAGUCAUCACCUCCCUCACUCUGUCACUGUGUCACCCCCUCCCUCUGUCACUAGUCACCCACUCCCUCCCUCACUAUGUCACCAGUCAUCCCCUCACUCUGUCACCAGUCACCCCUUCCUUCCCUCACUCUGCCACUAGUCACCCCUUCCCUCACUCUGUCACCUGUCACCCCCUCACUCUGUCA